AUUCUUGCCUGGAGAAUCCCAUGGACGGAGGAACUUGUCAGCCUUGUGAGUGAAAUCGGCCAGUCUCUGCCAAGCUCACUGUGUUAAAGAUACCAGUCAUCACCUUCCUACCCACACUUCCUGAGGGAAAAUUUCGUGCCCAAAGCUCUGACCCUUAAUGACCGGCACCACUUGUUGCCCCACUCUCGACUCAGCAGCAGCAGCAGCGUGAUGGAUUGGGGUGGUCAGAAGCAAGUCAUUUUUUGGUCAUCUGUCUUAAAAAGUAUUUCACACUGGCUUCAGGCUGUUCGUUUUCAAUCAUGUUUUUGCCCUUCUGCCUGGAUAUAAACAUUCCUGUCUCACCUGCAGCAGCUGGCAGAUGCCAGAGGUUUAUAAAAGAGCAUAGGGACAUAAGAAC
This is a long non-coding RNA of Bos taurus (domestic cattle), 397 nucleotides long. The record is from Ensembl. Lineage: Eukaryota; Metazoa; Chordata; Mammalia; Artiodactyla; Bovidae.